Molecule: long non-coding RNA, 1248 nt
Organism: Pan troglodytes (chimpanzee)
Lineage: Eukaryota; Metazoa; Chordata; Mammalia; Primates; Hominidae
Exons: 3
Source: RefSeq, a predicted model, not a curated record
AGGGCCUCUAAAAGUAUUAGGGCAGCAGCAGCUGCUGCACGGAGACAUGAUGGCCAGCCUAAAACAGUAAGGUCAAGUUGUUUGGACAAAAAGGCUACAGGAUGCCAUCCUGGUCCUUGUGUAAGAAUUCCAACUGCACAGCCCUGCACUUCGGCUGUGUGUAAUGAAAAGGGUUGGGAUGAGUCAGGGAGAGCUAGAGUGGGGGCAGUCUCUAAAGCUGUCUUCAAGGAAUGGAAAGAGGAGUGGGGAAAGGAUUUAGGAUCUAUGGGGUCAGCUAGGUUUCCUUUUGUGAGUUUAUAUAAUGGUUUUGUUAGGAAUGCAAAACCAGGUAUCCAAAGGCGAAAGUAUCCAACCGUGCCCAGGAAGGAAAGGAGUUGUUGUUUUGUAGAAGGGGUUGGGGUUUGAGAGAUUAGUUGAACACGAUCGGCAGGGAGAGAACGUGUGUUUUUAUGAAGAAUUAUGCCGAGGUAGGUAACAGAUGGAGAAGAAAUUUGAGCUUUGGAGGGGGAUACCUGAUAUCCUUUGGAGAAUAAAUGCUGAAGGAGCAGAAGUGUGUCUUGUUGAGAAGAUUCAAAGGAGGGACUAUAAAGAAGAAGGUCAUCAAUAUAUUGAAUAAGGUAAAGGGCUGUUCUUAGCAACCAGAGCUAAAGAGCUGUGUGGGCUUACCCAUGAAGAGUACUGAAAAUUCAAGUUGUGUUAUUAGAAGUGAAGUUAUAUCCUGUGUCAUCCAUGUCCCUUCCUACUUCCCCAGGACAGACGUAAGGGAACGGUUCAAUAACAUUCAGUGCCCUAAAGGAGGAAAGGAGAUUGUAGUAUACUCAACUGAAUUAAGAAGAAAGACCUUCCAAUCUUCUUGUCAGGCCUCUGAGCCCAAGCUAAACCAUCGUAUGCCCCGUGACCUGCAUAUAUAUGUCCAGAUGGCCUGAAGCAAGUGAAGAAUCACAAAAGAAGUGAAAAUGGCUGGUUCCUGCCUUAACCGAUGACAUUCCACCAUUGUGAUUUGUUUCUGCCCCACCUUAACUCAGCAAUUAACCUUGUGAAAUUCCUUCUCCUGGCUCAGAAGCUCCCCCACUGAGCACCUCGUGACACCCCCACCCCUGCCCACAAGAGAAAAAACCCCCUUUGAUUGUAAUUUUCCACUAUCCACCCAAAUCCUAUAAAAUGGCCCCACCCCCUAUCUCCCUUUGCUGACUCUCUUUUUGGUCUCAGCCCGCCUGCACCCAGGUGAUUAAAAAGCUUUAUUGCUCA